This is a non-coding RNA of Pelobates cultripes (western spadefoot toad), 293 nucleotides long. NCBI's taxonomy places the organism in Eukaryota, Metazoa, Chordata, Amphibia, Anura, Pelobatidae. The record is from the annotation of a GenBank genome assembly.
AUGCAUGUACACUAGCCUCACACUGUUUUCCAAUAGGAAAGCAUUGGAUUGGCUGAGAUCAUGUACUCCAAUUAUCUCAGCCUAAGAGGUGGAACUUUCCCAUGGAGAAGAGCAGAAGCGCCUGAAAGGUAAGUUAAAAAAAAGUAAGUUGAAUGAAUGACUAUUGUGGCAAACAUAGCCACUUGGACACUAUAAAGAGACUGUGCCUUUAAGGGUUGCCUGUAUGGUUGUGGGAUAUGUGCUUAACUAUGUAGAAUGUAUGCUGGUUGUAAUUAACUUGUAUUUGCUGUAUG